AUUAAGAAGCAACGCCAUAUGGAUUUUACAUUCGCAACAGGAAAGCUCAAACACUAUGUCAGGACCAAGACGUUUUUAUGCAGCACUUAAACUGCUCAAGUAGAAGCAUGUGGGCCAGAACUUCCCCAACAUCCAAGUCUUAAAGGAUUUAAAGAAGAAUCCUCCCCUCCUCACCCUGCCAGAGCAAAGUCACACAGCUCACAGACCAUCACAGCCCCUGCAAGGAUCCUCGGGUCAUCACCUCUUUCCCCACCCUGCUUAAAGCAGGGUCGGCACUGAAGUGAGAGCAGGACAUGAAGGGCUUUUGGCCAGCUGGGACACGUGAAGGAGCCACUCCUGCAGGCUGCAUCUCAGCACUCCCCUGUACUCACAGGGAGCAAUAGCUUUCCUUAUGGCACACUGGGCCCUCACCUCUUUCCAUUUAUAUCGCCUUGACAACUGAUGUCAAGCACUGCAAAACAACAUUUCUGGGUUGCGUCUUUCAAUGGUAAAAACACAACCUCAAAUAAAAUAAACUCCCUGAGCACCCC
Non-coding RNA from Coturnix japonica (Japanese quail), 530 nucleotides. NCBI's taxonomy places the organism in Eukaryota, Metazoa, Chordata, Aves, Galliformes, Phasianidae. The record is from RefSeq and is a predicted model, not a curated record.